Molecule: ribosomal RNA, 254 nt
Filed under: uncultured bacterium
Lineage: Bacteria
Description: partial 16S ribosomal RNA
Rfam family: Bacterial small subunit ribosomal RNA
Source: RNAcentral
UACGUAGGGGGGCAAGCGUUGUCCGGAAUUAUUGGGCGUAAAGAGCGCGUAGGCGGUCCGAUAAGUCGGCUGUGAAAGUCAGGGGCUCAACCCUUGAAAGCCGGCCGAUACUGUCGGACUAGAGUUCGGAAGAGGCAAGUGGAAUUCCCGGUGUAGCGGUGAAAUGCGCAGAUAUCGGGAGGAACACCAAUUGCGAAGGCAGCUGCUGGGACGAUACUGACGCUGAGGCGCGAAAGCGUGGGGAGCAAACAGGG